GUUGAAAACGAAUGCGAAUACCGCAUACGCCCUACGGGGGAAAGGAGGGGACCUUCGGGCCUUCCGCGAUUGGUUGAACCUAGGUGGGAUUAGCUAGUUGGUGAGGUAAUGGCUCACCAAGGCGACGAUCCCUAGCUGUUCUUAGAGGAUGAUCAGCCACACUGAUCUGAGCCAUGACCCAAACUCUCACGGGAGGCAGCAGUGGGGAAUAUUGCACUAUGGGGGAAACCCUGAUGCAGCCAUGCCGCGUGUGUGAAGAAGGCCUUCGGGUUGUAAAGCACUUUCAGUAGGGAGGAAAGGGUGUAGUUUAAUACGCUAUAUCUGUGACGUCACCUACAGAAGAAGGACCUCUGACUCCGUGCCAGCAGCCCCGGUAUACUGAGGGUCCGAGCGUUAAUCGGAAUUACUG
Molecule: ribosomal RNA, 409 nt
Filed under: Shewanella putrefaciens
Lineage: Bacteria; Pseudomonadati; Pseudomonadota; Gammaproteobacteria; Alteromonadales; Shewanellaceae
Description: bacterial SSU rRNA
Rfam family: Bacterial small subunit ribosomal RNA
Source: RNAcentral